This 72-nucleotide transfer RNA is filed under the name Ictidomys tridecemlineatus (thirteen-lined ground squirrel). RNAcentral describes it as "Spermophilus tridecemlineatus (thirteen-lined ground squirrel) tRNA". It matches the Rfam family "tRNA". Rfam says of the family: Transfer RNA (tRNA) molecules are approximately 80 nucleotides in length. Lineage: Eukaryota; Metazoa; Chordata; Mammalia; Rodentia; Sciuridae. The record is from Rfam by way of RNAcentral.
UGUGUUGUAGCUCAGUGGCAGAGCACUUGCCUUGUAUGCAUGAGGCCCUGGGUUUGGUCCUCAAUACCACAU